This 1347-nucleotide ribosomal RNA is filed under the name metagenome. RNAcentral describes it as "bacterial LSU rRNA". It matches the Rfam family "Bacterial large subunit ribosomal RNA", at positions 1564 to 2925 of the family's 2925-position model. The record is from RNAcentral.
UGAGUACGAGCUGCUACGGCAGCGAAGUGGGUGAUGUCAAGCUUCCAAGAAAAGCCCUAUACCCGUUAAGGCAUGACGGCCUGUACCCGAAACCGACACAGGUGGGGUGGUAGAGAAUACCGAGGGGCGCGAGAUAACUCUCUCUAAGGAACUCGGCAAAAUGGCCCCGUAACUUCGGGAGAAGGGGUGCCACCGCAAGGUGGUCGCAGUGAAGAGGCCCAGGCGACUGUUUACCAAAAACACAGGUCUCCGCUAAGUCGCAAGACGAUGUAUGGGGGCUGACGCCUGCCCAGUGCCGGAAGGUUAAGGAAGCUGGUCAGCGCAAGCGAAGCUAGCGACUGAAGCCCCGGUGAACGGCGGCCGUAACUAUAACGGUCCUAAGGUAGCGAAAUUCCUUGUCGGGUAAGUUCCGACCCGCACGAAAGGCGUAACGAUCUGGGCGCUGUCUCGGAGAGAGGCUCGGCGAAAUAGAAUUGUCUGUGAAGAUGCGGACUACGUGCACCCGGACAGAAAGACCCUAUGAAGCUUUACUGUAGCUUGGUAUUGUGCCCGGGCUCUGAAUGCGCAGGAUAGGUGGGAGGCUUUGAUCCAUUGCUUGUGGGUGAUGGUGAGCCACUGGUGAGAUACCACUCUUUCAGAGCUAGGGUUCUAACGGUCACCCGUUAUCCGGGGACCGGACAGUAUCAGGUGGGCAGUUUGACUGGGGCGGUCGCCUCCUAAAAGGUAACGGAGGCGCGCAAAGGUUCCCUCAGGCUGGUUGGAAAUCAGCCGACGAGUGUAAAGGCAGAAGGGAGCUUGACUGUGAGACCUACAAGUCGAACAGGGACGAAAGUCGGCCUUAGUGAUCCGACGGUUCUGAGUGGAAGGGCCGUCGCUCAACGGAUAAAAGUUACUCUAGGAUAACAGGCUGAUCUCCCCCAAGAGUUCACAUCGACGGGGAGGUUUGGCACCUCGAUGUCGGCUCAUCGCAACCUGGGGCUGAAGUCGGUCCCAAGGGUUGGGCUGUUCGCCCAUUAAAGCGGUACGCGAGCUGGGUUCAGAACGUCGUGAGACAGUUUGUCCAUAUCCGGUGCACGCGCAGGAACAUUGAGAGGAUUUCUCCCUAGUACGAGAGGACCGGGAGGAACGCACCUCUGGUGUACCAGUUAUCGUGCCAACGGUAAACGCUGGGUAGCCAUGUGCGGAGCGGAUAACCGCCGAAAGCAUCUAAGUGGGAAGCCCACCUCAAGAUGAGUGUUCCCAUGGCAUAAGCCAGUAAGGUCACGGGAAGAACACCCGUUGAUAGGCUCUACGUGGAAGCGUGGCAACACGUGAAGCGGAGGAGUACUAAUAGACCGAGGGCUUGAC